GACCGGACAGCUUUUAUUACUCACCGAAGCCUCUGCCCAAGCCAACGGCCCACGUGGUACCUAUAAGCGGCAGAAGUAUUUAUACAAAUGCUGAACUGAGAGAAACAGAGUCCUAGAGCUCAAGGCAGCCCUCACCUCUAACGGGAGCCGCCUGCUGGUCCACUCCACCUUAGCUUUGUUCACGGUCUUCGAAGGAAGAGAACAGCCAGGAGCCCUCCUCCCACACGGGAUGUGACAGAAGUGAGUUUUGCUGGUCCCAGAGCUUGAAGUGACAUCAUUUCUGUCUUUAAUCUCUUGGCUGCCUGCCUUCAGAGUGCCAUACCAUGCUGAAGUCUCAAACAAAAAGCCCGUCUGAAAAAGAGAAGCCCAGCCCAGCCUGAUAGCCUUGUCAGAUCAGCACUAGCCGAUUGACUCAUCAGAUGAAUGCGUCUACGUCAAUGAACCCAGCUGAAAGGCAGAGGGCUGCACGGACUGCGCAUAGAAUUGUAGAACAUGAUAAACUGCUUUUGCUUUCAGCAGUUGCCUCCCAUGGUAUUCUACACUACAACAAAGACUGGCUGAAAGAGAAACUGACAGCUCGUAGAGAAGAGGUUCUCAACCCUCCUGAGCCUGCAACCCUUUAAUACAGUUCCUCCGUCGUGAUGAUGCCCCCAACCAUAAAAUUACUUUUAUUGCUACUUCAUAAUCAUAUCUAUACUGUUGUUAUGACUUGUAAUAUAAAUAGUUUUAGAGCUGCCA
Molecule: small RNA, 738 nt
Filed under: Rattus norvegicus (Norway rat)
Lineage: Eukaryota; Metazoa; Chordata; Mammalia; Rodentia; Muridae
Description: uncharacterized LOC100909396
Source: RNAcentral